Molecule: ribosomal RNA, 610 nt
Filed under: uncultured Bacteroidales bacterium
Lineage: Bacteria; Pseudomonadati; Bacteroidota; Bacteroidia; Bacteroidales
Description: bacterial SSU rRNA
Rfam family: Bacterial small subunit ribosomal RNA
Source: RNAcentral
GCUAAGGCUGAUGGCGACCGGCGCACGGGUGAGUAACACGUAUCCAACCUGCCGUCUACUCUUGGCCAGCCUUCUGAAAGGAAGAUUAAUCCAGGAUGGGAUCAUGAGUUCACAUGUCCGCAUGAUUAAAGGUAUUUUCCGGUAGACGAUGGGGAUGCGUUCCAUUAGAUAGUAGGCGGGGUAACGGCCCACCUAGUCAACGAUGGAUAGGGGUUCUGAGAGGAAGGUCCCCCACAUUGGAACUGAGACACGGUCCAAACUCCUACGGGAGGCAGCAGUGAGGAAUAUUGGUCAAUGGGCGAUGGCCUGAACCAGCCAAGUAGCGUGAAGGAUGACUGCCCUAUGGGUUGUAAACUUCUUUUAUAAAGGAAUAAAGUCGGGUAUGCAUACCCGUUUGCAUGUACUUUAUGAAUAAGGAUCGGCUAACUCCGUGCCAGCAGCCGCGGUAAUACGGAGGAUCCGAGCGUUAUCCGGAUUUAUUGGGUUUAAAGGGAGCGUAGAUGGAUGUUUAAGUCAGUUGUGAAAGUUUGCGGNUCAACCGUAAAAUUGCAGUUGAUACUGGAUGUCUUGAGUGCAGUUGAGGCAGGCGGAAUUCGUGGUGUAGCGGUGA